Oxyura jamaicensis (ruddy duck) is the source of this 1629-nucleotide long non-coding RNA. RefSeq lists it as uncharacterized. The transcript is spliced from 2 exons. The record is from RefSeq and is a predicted model, not a curated record. NCBI's taxonomy places the organism in Eukaryota, Metazoa, Chordata, Aves, Anseriformes, Anatidae.
CUGGUAGUCCCGGAGAGUGACUGAUCUAGUUCUAGGAAAAGGGCACUGUCACUUGAGCUGCUUUAAAUGCUGUCAUAUCUAAACAUGCUCUUCUUCUGGUCACUGGCAUUUUGGUUAUUAAAAGCUCUGUGCAUGAAGCUCAGUGAAUACCAUGGGGACAAGGUUAGAAAAACGAUCCAAUAGCCAGCACCAGGCACUGUCCUGUGCUUGAAGAGCUUGUUCCAAGGAGAGCUCUGGCACUACAGUACCUGUCUUUUGGGUGUCCAGGGCCCCAACCAGGAGCCCAAGCCCAGAGCUGUCCCUGGGGCUCCCUGCACAGGUCAUGGGGAGGCUGAUGGAAACACAUUGCACUCUGCCAUGGAGGAGACCAGAGUGGGAAACAUGCUUCAGGGGUGUAUCUGAAAUCCAGCCUCUCUGGGCAAUCUCUGACUUCCAUUCACAUGCAGAAGUCAGACGAUGACAAUAAUUCCAAGACAAUUCUGGUAUAAAUACUGUGAGCCCAGCUGACCAUGGGUGGAAUGGAGGGGAGAGGUAAGGAGCUGACAUUCAUUCAGACUUAGAAUGAAAAAUACUCCAAGCAAAAUUAUCCGGACUGUUGCUUAUGGCGGUUCAGUUUUCAUGCUGAAAAUACUUUUGUGUAGUGAGCUUAGCCAAACACUACACAGCCUCUCCAUCGAGUAGUGCUACUCCCACCACUGAGAGGAGCCUGGAGCCCACUGGGACUAGAAGCAAAGCACAGCACAGCCAGGAGAGACAGAAUGAGAGAAAUCUCUGAAAACAGGCAUUCCUGCACAGCAGUACUGUGUGGGCAUUGUGUUGGAGUGCUGACAUUCCCCAGAGAGGAGAGGGAAAUAGAUUCCACCUCACUUUCUGCAAGUCCUUAUGAUGUGAGUUUCCUUGCCUUGUGUUCAGUGAGCAGGAACUGAGACAGACACUCGUGAGCACCAGUGAAGUGUGAGCAUGGAGCACUGUCAAGGACUGUUGAGUUUGUGGCCCAAUGCAAACCACACCCUCAGCUCUGCUUUUUAGAGCAGCAGCAUCAACCUUGUAACCUGUCUAGUUAGAAGGAAAUUCCACAGCUGCUAUCUCCUGCUUAGGUCCUCUGCUCCUUCUACCCUGGACCUCCUAGCUAGUUGCAAUGACAGGAGAAGAUGCAUGGAUGCAAGUCACUGGCCUGGCCUCCUCUUCAGACCUGUUGGUGUUCUUUUCUGCCCAGAGAGAAGCAAGCAAAGUCAACCCAGUUGGACCAUGUGGGAAUCAACAAGUAAAGUUCAGGAAGGCAUCUUCUUAGGAGUCAAUAUGUUUGAUGUAAGAUUUAACCUUAGCAGCUGGUAAAUUCCAGUAGAGAAAAGAAGCUGUUGGUGAGCUCUCCUCUAAGUCUCUGAAGGAGCAUGGCAUCAAGGUCACCACCACACAGUCCGUGCUUAAUGCUUCACUAUAGCAUUGGGUACCUUUGUUGCUGUCAGUAGAUUCCUUAACCAUGUGGCCAUAAUGAAGCAGUUGAACGAUGGACUUCACAAACAUUUUGAGGAGAUGUAUUCAUGGGGACAUGAUACAAUAAACCAGUCCACUUUUCCUAAGCCAUUCUGAAGUGCCAGGUGGUAAGGUAAAGUCCUCUUCUUCCCUGAA